Molecule: microRNA precursor, 195 nt
Filed under: Oryza brachyantha (malo sina)
Lineage: Eukaryota; Viridiplantae; Streptophyta; Magnoliopsida; Poales; Poaceae
Description: MIR812 microRNA precursor family
Rfam family: MIR812 microRNA precursor family
Source: Rfam by way of RNAcentral
AAUAAGAUCGUUUUUUAGUUUUUUGAUACAAUGUUUUGACUCUUCGUUUUUUUUUGAAAUUUUUUUGCGAUUCUAUUUAUAUUUUUACUAAAUGAUAAAACAUGAAUAAUACUUUAUACAUGACUAAUUUUUUUUAAAGUUUUUCUACAAAUUUUUUAAAUAAGACGAAUGGUCAAACGUUGGGUAUGGAAAAAC